AAUGAACGCUGGCGGCGGGCCUAACACAUGCAAGUCGAGCGGAUGGAGGGAGCUUGUUCCUGUAUUCCGCUGCGGGCGGGUGGGUGAUGCAUAGGUAUCUGCCUGGCAGUGGGGGAUAAGGUAACGACACGGGCGCUAAUCUAGCAUCGGUUAAGAGGGUGAACGUCGGGGAUCUUCGGACAACGAGGUAUCAGAUGAGCCUAGGUCGGAUUAGCUAGUUGGUGGGGUAAAGGCCUAACAAGGCGACGAUCCGUAACUGGCCUGAGAGGAUGAUCAGUCACACUGGAACUGAGACACGGUCCAGACUCCUACGGGAGGCAGCAGUGGGGAAUAUUGGACAAUGGGCGAAAGCCUGAUCCAGCCAUGCCGCGUGUGUGAAGAAGGUCUUCGGAUUGUAAAGCUCUUUAAGUUGGGAGGAAGAACAGUAAGUUAAUACCUUGCUGUCUUGACGUUACCAACAGAAUAAGCACCGGCUAACUUCGUG
RNAcentral lists this ribosomal RNA (484 nucleotides) under uncultured bacterium. RNAcentral's name for it is "partial 16S ribosomal RNA". It matches the Rfam family "Bacterial small subunit ribosomal RNA", at positions 29 to 507 of the family's 1533-position model. The record is from RNAcentral.